RNAcentral lists this ribosomal RNA (494 nucleotides) under uncultured bacterium. RNAcentral's name for it is "partial 16S ribosomal RNA". It matches the Rfam family "Bacterial small subunit ribosomal RNA", at positions 28 to 507 of the family's 1533-position model. The record is from RNAcentral.
GACGAACGCUGGCGGCGUGCUUAACACAUGCAAGUCGAACGGUGAAGCGCCUUCCUUUUUGGUGGGUGUGGAUGGGUGGCGAACGGGUGAGUAACACGUGAGUAACCUGCCCCCUUCUUCUGGAUAACCGCAUGAAAGUGUGGCUAAUACGGGAUAUUCUGGGUCUGUCGCAUGAUGGGUCUGGGAAAGAUAUUGUUUCGGUGGGGGAUGGGCUCGCGGCCUAUCAGCUUGUUGGUGGGGUGAUGGCCUACCAAGGCGGUGACGGGUAGCCGGCCUGAGAGGGUGGACGGUCACACUGGGACUGAGACACGGCCCAGACUCCUACGGGAGGCAGCAGUGGGGAAUAUUGCACAAUGGGCGCGAGCCUGAUGCAGCGACGCCGCGUGAGGGAUGGAGGCCUUCGGGUUGUGAACCUCUUUCGCCAGUGAAGCAGGCCUGCCUCGUUUGUGGGUGGGUUGACGGUAGCUGGAUAAGAAGCGCCGGCUAACUACGUG